RNAcentral lists this ribosomal RNA (254 nucleotides) under uncultured bacterium. RNAcentral's name for it is "partial 16S ribosomal RNA". It matches the Rfam family "Bacterial small subunit ribosomal RNA", at positions 524 to 776 of the family's 1533-position model. The record is from RNAcentral.
UACGGGGGGAGCAAACGUUGUUCGGAUUUACUGGGCGUAAAGGGCGCGUAGGCGGCCUCCGCAAGUCAGUUGUGAAAUCUCCGAGCUUAACUCGGAAAGGUCAACUGAUACUGCGGGGCUAGAGUGCGGAAGGGGCAACUGGAAUUCUUGGUGUAGCGGUGAAAUGCGUAGAUAUCAAGAGGAACACCUGCGGCGAAGGCGGGUUGCUGGGCCGACACUGACGCUGAGGCGCGAAAGCUAGGGGAGCGAACCGG